AAUGAUAUGCCUGAUAAAAAGGAUUAUUAUGAUAUAAUAAAUUAUGUAAAAAAUUACUAUCAUUA
Molecule: transfer RNA, 65 nt
Filed under: Figites sp. ZJUH 20220009
Lineage: Eukaryota; Metazoa; Arthropoda; Insecta; Hymenoptera; Figitidae
Description: tRNA-Ile
Source: RNAcentral